UUUGUGCCCACAGGGGUUUCCAUCCUCCUGGGUUUCUAUCCCUGGAUGUUUCUGGAUCCAGGGAUUUUGUGGGAAUUCCAGAAGCACAAGGUCCUGGUGUAGCAAAACCCCUCCGGGGAUUUUUGUGGGGAACCAGGAAUGUUCCAGGAUGACUGAGCUUCUGUUCACCCCCAGCAUUCCCGGGCUUCCCAUCCAAAUCCCGGGAUUUUCCCUAAGAGCCGAUGACAAACUCUGGCUUGGAGAUGAAAACCGGGAGCUCUCAGCAUUCCCUUGGAUUCCCGGGAGGGAAUUCAAGACCACCCUGCUGCUUCCCGGAUUUUUUUUUUUAUUUUUUUUUUUCCCCCAAAUAUCUUUAUCCUUUAGAAAAUUUUUAUUUUUUUUUUUUUUUCCCCCCCAAAUAUCUUUAUCCUUUAGAAAAUUUUCCUUGUUCAGCUCAAUAUUCCCCCUCCAGGAAUUCCAUCCCCAGCUCCGGCAGUGCCAGAAGCCGGGGGAGGAAAAACAAAAAAAAAAGUCUGGAUUUUCCUGACAGUCCAAUAAAAACCGGGAUAUUCUUCCAGGGAAUCAGGAAACUUUGGAGCAAAGGCAGCAAAAUCCAGCCCCAAAUUUUCAUGGAAGUAGAACCAGGGCUGGGAAUCUUGGGAAAGCUUCCAGGCACUUCCAAAAAUUCCUUUUCCAGCUGGGGAUCCCGAAGGAUUCAGGCAGGGUGGCUUCCCCCCUUUUCCCCCCCUUUUUUUCCCAUUUUCCUCCUCCAGUUUUUCCAAUUUCCUCUCCCUUUUUUCCCAGUUUUUCCCCCCUUUUUUCCCAGUCGUCUCCCUUUUUUUUCCCAGCUUUUCCCCUUUUUUUCCCUCAGCUUUUCCCCCCUUCUCACUCCCAGUUUUUCCCUCUCCUCUCUCCCAGUUUUCCCCCCUUUUUCCCCAGUUUCCCCACCUGGUUCCAGAACCUUUGGGAUCAUCCCCAUCCCAGAAAUUUCCCUUCCAGGAUUUUUUUUUUUAAUCCUGAUUUUUAUCCUGGCAGGAAAGGUGGAUUUGUAU
Molecule: long non-coding RNA, 1031 nt
Filed under: Ficedula albicollis (Collared flycatcher)
Lineage: Eukaryota; Metazoa; Chordata; Aves; Passeriformes; Muscicapidae
Description: lncRNA (ENSFALG00000024110.1)
Source: RNAcentral